Molecule: ribosomal RNA, 274 nt
Filed under: uncultured bacterium
Lineage: Bacteria
Description: partial 16S ribosomal RNA
Rfam family: Bacterial small subunit ribosomal RNA
Source: RNAcentral
AUACGGGGGGUGCAAGCGUUAUUCGGAUUUAUUGGGCGUAAAGAGCGCGUAGGCGGCUUGGUAAGUCAGAUGUGAAAGCCCGGGGCUCAACCCCGGAAGUGCAUUUGAAACUAUCAGGCUUGAGUAUGGGAGAGGGAAGUGGAAUUCCUGGUGUAGAGGUGAAAUUCGUAGAUAUCAGGAGGAACACCGGUGGCGAAGGCGACUUCCUGGACCAAUACUGACGCUGAGGCGCGAAGGCGUGGGGAGCAAACAGGAUUAGAAACCCCGGUAGUCC